GAAGAGAUCAACGGCUAACUGGGUGCUGCAAUGAGGAACGAAAAAGCAAUCUGCCUCAAAUGUUCCCUUUUAUAAGGUUUCCUGGCCUCAUGUCAUCCUUUGCAGACUGCACUGCCAUUUUGAAGGUCUCUAGGUUUUAUAAGAAUUGUGCCCUAUCCUAGGCUGGCUUCUGGCUCGUACUGUUUUGAUGGGAUGGGUUUUGACUCCUUGAACUGAAGAAAAAGUGAAACUGGUGGUGGGCUGGAUUCUGUGAGUCUUACUGGCUGAAGGAGCCCACUUCUGCUGUCCUGCAGUGUUCUCCAUUAUUGUUUUGGAGUUAUGUGCACAUCCUGGACUUCAUAGUUUCCUGAGGGGACUUGAAAAUACAGACCCUUAUUCUUGCUAUUAAAGUGUCCAGAGUGCAUCCCAUAGUUGAGUCUGCCCAUUAAUUGGCUUGUUGUUUCAGUGGGCCUCUCGUGAACUGAUGUUACCAGGCCAGCACAGCAGAAUGUAGAAAAUCACACUGGCCAUCUCUUGGGGGGUAAAGAAGAUGUGAAGGAUGUCACUUUCCACAUUAAAGGAAUGCAGUGUUGUAAGGAAAAUAGCCUGUUAUGCCAUUUUUAAUCUCUUUUUGGUACAAGACCAGUCCCUCCGGUCAUUGAUGUGAUCCCCCAGUACUUUUUAGUUGACUUAGGAGACAGACUUAGUGACUGGACCACAACUCUUCAGUGCAGUCCUUGGCUUUGCUGAUGUUUAAAUGCAGACAAGCCUCUCUAGAUAAAGAAACCAAGUUCUCCACCUGACUCCUAUACUGUCUCAUUCCCCUUAUUGAUUUACCCCAUCAGUAUAAAGGUAGCUUCAGUAUUUGUGGGUGGAAGAUAGACCAACAUGAGGAAUGCAUUAAAUGUAAGACAUUAUGCUGAUGGUGCUGAGUGUCAUUCACACUACAAGGAGGAAGAAACACUAAAUUAGAAAAAGCCACUAAAACCUCUACUCCUGCAGUGUGAAGCCAUGUGGAUUGUCUCCUGCUGUUUAGAGGUAGAGGAUCACAGAUGUUUUGGUUUUUUACUAGUGGUCGCAACCCUCUUAACUGCCACUUCCAGAAGGAGAAAAAUGGCACAUUUCAAACAUAAGCAUGUGGGGUAUCAUUUAGUCUUAAAGGUCUGUGAUUAUGAAUAUGAUGAUAUUGAAUUUUGAUACUUUUCUAGGGGCCUUGUCCCUCUAUGGCCCUCUGUUAGAGGGUGGAAAAAUGGCAAACGUCUAUUGCAAUCAAAUAUUUACACUUUAAGCUCACAUUUCAAUAUAUCAAAUUUGACAACACUAUCUUGUAUACUUCUGCCAUCCAGUAAACCCAAAUUGGG
Long non-coding RNA from Polypterus senegalus (gray bichir), 1340 nucleotides. RefSeq lists it as uncharacterized. Lineage: Eukaryota; Metazoa; Chordata; Cladistia; Polypteriformes; Polypteridae. The transcript has 5 exons. The record is from RefSeq and is a predicted model, not a curated record.